UUUCCUUUCAAUUGUCUUGAUAUUUUAAAGAACAGUCGAGUUUUCUAACAAAUAACUUAAUUUUUCAUAUUUGCAUUUGCACAAAGGUGUUUUUUAAUGAUUUCAACAUUAUUUAUAACUAAAUACCAAAAAUUAUCUAAAUUUUUAUCACAUUCGCUUUCGCAACAAGUUGUCUAAGUAAUGCCUUGAUUAAAAUUUGGGAAAAAUCGAUAAAGGCAUUCCCACAACAUUUUUUCGGAGAUCAAGUUUCUUAUUUUUUAAGGUUUUCUACGGAACAUAAGAACUACCACACAGUUUCUUAGAAACUUAUUUUUUCAGUUCAUUCGAUCCUUCAGAUGGCAAAGCUUGUCAUACCAUAAAAACGAAUGCAAUGCAACGAAUGUAAUUAAGACAUUGGUUUGCUUAACGUUUGUUGCUACUGGUGUUGUUGAGAAAUUUGAAACAAAACAUUUUGUAUUGAGAAGGCCCGUAAUGGUGGUUCUUGAUCAAAUAUUCCAGUAAAAAUUACUCUUACCACUCGAGAAAUAUAUUUUAUUAUCGAUACAAUAAAAAUUUUGUGUUUCGGAAUUAAAUAUUUUAUCUGUGAAAUGUUUUUCUUUUCUACUAUGCUACAUUUUUUGACCACUUUGUGCAACUUGAAAUUUUAAUCAUCUAGUUUACAGAGCCCUAUUUUUUAACUUUUACCAGAAACAUCAACGAAAUUAGUAUUAUUUGCUUCGUUAGUAUGUUUACUAUAAGAGCUAAAAGAAACUUUUUUUGGAUAUUGUGCUCAAAUUGAAAUGGCAGUUAAUCGUUAGUGUAUUUAUAAUUUCUGAAACAGUCUAUAUUUUUGAAAUAUUAAAUUGACAUUAAUUAAAUAUCUGAUGCUCUUGUAGUUUCUUAUUUUUUAUUUAAUCGUAAAAUAUUUGACAUAUUUUUUAUUAUCUGUGGUUCAGUAUUGUAUGAAAUAAUUAAAUAUGUAACAUGUCCACUUAUCUAAAAUUCUUGAGACAAAAAGUUAGCUAAGACUGAUUGAUUGACAUUUUUCAGAAAACGAAAAAACGCUGUAAAAUUCAAAAGAUUCGUCGAUUUUCGUUCGAUUUUCUGAAAUGACUUAUAUGUUUCAAAAAUUUGCUUGGAUCGCCAAAUUUGGUGAAAAUAAAAAGUGGGUCGCAAGAGGGGAAAGCCUGAGAACCCCUGGUCUAGAAAGUAAAAAUAUUAUUCUUUGACACCAAAAUGAAACUAUAUCUGGAGAAUCAAAACAAAAAAAAAAAUAGAAAUCUUUGUUAAAAAUAUGGAAUAAGGUUUUUGUUUUCUUCCGUGGCCAUAACGUGGUUAUAACGCCCUUACGUUCAAAACACCCUUAAGUUUAAAAUUUAAUUUAAAGUAGAAAAAAAAACAUUAAACAACAUUCGGUGAUCAACUUUUUUGUAUUUUUUACAAAUUUUACCUAAGCAUUUUUAACUACCAAAAAGAACAAUUUGAAUAUUCAGUUGGAUAAAUUUGCCUCUAGCCUUACUUUUAAGAAGGGCCAAAGCAAAAAAUCAAUGAAAAUUUAAAAAAAACAUAUAUGUCUGAGAAGCGACUUGCCCGAUGGAUAAGCUGUCUUCGGCAACAUAAUUUUGCAAACUUAUAAUAGUUUUUACCAUAUUUUUGACGUUUUUGCUCAUGCAGCAAUAAAUAAUAUUGGAUCUUCCAGAAAACAAUUGUCAUGACUUGGAAAAAAAAAUCGAAACGACCGAAAGUUGUAAAAUCGUUACAUCUCGGAUACGGUAGCAUUUAGCAAGACUUUGUGGCAAUUAAUUGCCCAAUAUGCUUGCUAUAACAUAUCAAAAAAUUAAAAAAAAAAAUCAAAAAUACCUUUUUUGAGGCAGGUGAUUUUAAAGUUGUAUUUAAAAAAAGGUGGAAAAUCCAACCCGUUGGACGGUUGGUGUUGGGUCAUUUCGUCGUUAGAUGCAAGAAGAGCCCAAACCAAAAAUUUGAUUUUUUUCAGAAUCCUCCAUGAAACCGAAAAUUUGUUGAUCGCAGAAUUAUUUUACGAUUGAUGUCUGUAGAAAUAUUGCCCCGAAACGUUUGAGACAGUAUGAAGACCAUCAGUACAUAGUUGUUCUUUCAAAAGAUUCUUGAAAUUUUUACUUUGAAUGACAAGGUUUCGGUAAUGUCAAGAAGUAAGCUGUUCAUAGCUUCGUAAAUUUAAAAAAAAUCGGUAAAAGUCGAAAAGUUUCGUGAGGAUACUAGAAUUUUCAUAAAAUAUUCGAAAACUUUGGUUUAUUUAUUUGGUUUUUUAACUCAAAAUAAGAAAGAGGAAAAACCCCUUUCGAAGUGUUUUUUUUAAGGUAAGACAGAGAAAAAAAGUUAUAUAAUCAAAAAAAUGGGGUCUCCAGUUAGCCUAGUGGUUAAGGCUAUGGAUCGCCAAUCCGGAGACGGCGGGUUCGAUUCCCGUUGCAGUCGGUGAAAUUUUCUUGACUCCCUGGGCAUAGUGUAUCAUUGUACUUGCCUCACAAUAUACAAAUUCAUGCAAUGGCAGGCAAAGGAAGCCCUUCAAUUAACAGCUGCGGUAGUGCUCGAAGAACACUAAGUUGAAGCGAGGUAGGCCAAGUCCCAGUGGGGACGUAGAGCCAUAAAGAAGAAGAAGAAACAAAAAAAUAAUUAAAAAAGACAAGA
Long non-coding RNA from Aedes albopictus (Asian tiger mosquito), 2643 nucleotides. RefSeq lists it as uncharacterized. Lineage: Eukaryota; Metazoa; Arthropoda; Insecta; Diptera; Culicidae. The transcript is spliced from 2 exons. The record is from RefSeq and is a predicted model, not a curated record.